Homo sapiens (human) is the source of this 1340-nucleotide long non-coding RNA. Ensembl annotates it as long intergenic non-protein coding RNA 412. NCBI's taxonomy places the organism in Eukaryota, Metazoa, Chordata, Mammalia, Primates, Hominidae. The record is from Ensembl.
GCCUUGUAUCCGCGUCUCCGCAGGGAAAACUGCGGCUGGCGGUGCGGGAAGUGCUAUUAGUAGUUGUUUAUUUGUUUGUUUGCAGAAAUAAUUGCUUGGGUACGAAGGUCAAACGAGAAUGAAGCAAGUAUAUUAUCUAGUUUGUAUGUCUUUAAAUAGUUUCUCCUCCACACGUCUAAACAUACGCACCUGCUAGUAGGUGCGCAAAUGUUAAAACCUCUUUGGGAAAGCAAUGUGGCAAAAUCUAGUAAAAGUUUUCAAUUACUAAACCCCAGCACUCUGCUCCUACCUAUAUGUCUUGUAGAAACUUUGGUAAGUGAACAAGGAUGUACGUAACAGCGCUGUGGGUAGAAGCAAAAAAUUAGAAACGUCCAUCAAUAACAGAAUAAAUACCUUAUGGGAUGUUAGGAUGUAGUAUUAUACGCCAAUAAAAGAAGACUGAACUCAGAAAUGUGAUGAGGCAAAAAGAGAAAGAUGUAGAAAAAUAAAUAGUAUGACAAUUCAUAUACAUUCAACUCUAAAACUUGUAAAACAAUGCUAUAUAUUGCUUAGUUAUGCAUACAUAUGUAGUUAAAGAAGUCAAGAAAUACAAGAGAAUGAAAAUCAAGUUGAGAAAAGCAGUCAUAUCUGUGAUGGAGGUUGAGAAGUCCAACUUCAAGGCACCACAUCUGGUGAGAGCCUUCAUUCCGAUGACAGCCUUCAUGCUGCCUCAACUCUGGGGAAGCUCCAAGACAGGUAAAAUACAGCAACCUGCAGCAGGAAAAUGGGCUUCAGUUUUCAAGUCUGCAGCUGAGUUGGGAAGUUGCGGACAGUAACCAGUAAUACACAAUAUUGGCAACAAUGCAACAAAAUGGACACACUCUACUCUCCAGCGGGAGUGUUAAAAAAACGAAAAGAAGAGAAAGAAAAAAGGAAAGAAGCAGAAGGAAGAACUCUGCUGCAGUACUGGAAGCAGGCAGAUUAUUUAAAUUACGGUGGUGCCAUGGAACAAGAGAAGGCAGAUGAAGAGCGACACCCUUCAAGUUAACACAGGAACAAUUAACAAUAGAAUCCUUAAGAUGCAAAACUCCUUGCUGUUUACCAGCAACAGAAGAGAGGAAGAAGUGGCUCUGGGGGAAUUGCGUGCCAGUCUGCGGCAGGUUGGCUGGAGAAGCAGCCCUGGUUGGAGCUUUGGAGAGACACAUGUGCAUUUACUUGUUACCUGGAAGACCUUUUAAAAAAAAUUCUCGUAAAUCUGUCAUUUGUGUAUCCUCAAGGUUUGUGGCAGAAAGCAGAUAUAUCUGCUCCUGUGUGUAAUUGUUGUUAAAAAACACAAAAAGGAAAUAAAAGUGCACAACAUA